Molecule: transfer RNA, 115 nt
Filed under: Nitrososphaerota archaeon
Lineage: Archaea; Thermoproteati; Nitrososphaerota
Description: Thaumarchaeota archaeon tRNA-OTHER
Rfam family: tRNA
About the family: Transfer RNA (tRNA) molecules are approximately 80 nucleotides in length. Their secondary structure includes four short double-helical elements and three loops (D, anti-codon, and T loops).
Source: RNAcentral
GCAGGGGUCGCCUAGCUCGGUAGGGCGCAGUUUAACAGCGUAAGCCUGGAGUCCGAUUUGGCGCGUCAGCCUGUCUCCAGAAAUGGGGUCGUGGGUUCAAAUCCCACCCCCUGCG